RNAcentral lists this ribosomal RNA (20 nucleotides) under Sticta fuliginosa. RNAcentral's name for it is "partial 28S ribosomal RNA". RNAcentral also lists the same sequence under 2 other names. The record is from RNAcentral. Lineage: Eukaryota; Fungi; Ascomycota; Lecanoromycetes; Peltigerales; Lobariaceae.
GGAUACCCGCUGAACUUAAG